Molecule: ribosomal RNA, 711 nt
Filed under: soil fungal sp. DM2-090
Lineage: Eukaryota; Fungi
Description: eukaryotic LSU rRNA
Rfam family: Eukaryotic large subunit ribosomal RNA
Source: RNAcentral
CGGCGAGUGAGCGGGAUGAGCUCAAAUUUAAAAUCUGGCUGGUUUACUAGUCCGAAUUGUAGUUUAUAGAAGCGUUUUCGGUGGCAGCCUGGGUAUAAAUCCUUUGGAAUAGGGUAUCAUAGAGGGUGAGAAUCCCGUCUUUGACUCAGUGCAUGCUACUAUGUGAUACGUUUUCAAAGAGUCGAGUUGUUUGGGAAUGCAGCUCAAAAUGGGUGGUAAAUUUCAUCUAAAGCUAAAUAUUGGCGAGAGACCGAUAGCGAACAAGUACCGUGAGGGAAAGAUGAAAAGAACUUUGAAAAGAGAGUUAAACAGUGCGUGAAAUUGUUGAAAGGGAAACGUUUGACACCAGUUAUGCGGGUGGAAAAUCAGUCUUUUGCAAUGGGGAGUUGUGGGCGUUCAGACCGCAAGGCUGGCGUUUGCUUCAUCUUUGUUGUAAGUGAUGCACUUUUUCAUUUGCAGGUCAACAUCAGUUUGCUUUGCUGGACAAAACCCCAAGGGAAGGUGGCAGCUUAGGCUGUGUUAUAGCCCUGGGGCGAUACAGUGGAGUGGACUGAGGUUUCGCAGUGUGUGCUCUCGGGCAAGGCUGACUGGGUGCUAUGGGAUCGUUCGGCGUACAAUGCAUGCAUUUUGCGUCGUGUCUUUUUCAUACUCGCUCAACUCGGCUCUUCCACACUUAGGAUGUUGACUUAAUGGUUUUAAACGACCCGUCUG